Molecule: transfer RNA, 73 nt
Filed under: Camelus bactrianus (Bactrian camel)
Lineage: Eukaryota; Metazoa; Chordata; Mammalia; Artiodactyla; Camelidae
Also listed under: 2 other names
Rfam family: tRNA
About the family: Transfer RNA (tRNA) molecules are approximately 80 nucleotides in length. Their secondary structure includes four short double-helical elements and three loops (D, anti-codon, and T loops).
Source: Rfam by way of RNAcentral
GAGGGUACAGCUCAAAUGGUAGAGCACAUGCUUAGCAUGCACAAGGUCCUGGGUUCAAUCCCCAGUACCUUCA